CGUCAAAUCAUCAUGCCCCUUAUGUUCAGGGCUACACACGUGCUACAAUGGCCAAUACAAAGGGUUGCCAAGGAGUAAUCUGGAGCUAAUCCCAUAAAGUUGGUCCCAGUUCGGAUUGUGGGCUGAAACUCGCCCACAUGAAGUUGGAGUUGCUAGUAAUCGCGAAUCAGCAUGUCGCGGUGAAUGCGUUCCCGGGUCUU
Molecule: ribosomal RNA, 200 nt
Filed under: uncultured organism
Description: partial small subunit ribosomal RNA
Rfam family: Bacterial small subunit ribosomal RNA
Source: RNAcentral